UACGAAGGGUGCAAGCGUUACUCGGAAUUACUGGGCGUAAAGCGUGCGUAGGUGGUGAGUUAAGUCUGUCGUGAAAGCCCCGGGCUCAACCUGGGAAUGACGAUGGAUACUGGCUCGCUAGAGUGCGGUAGAGGAGAGUGGAAUUCCCGGUGUAGCAGUGAAAUGCGUAGAGAUCGGGAGGAACAUCAGUUGCGAAGGCGGCUCUCUGGACCAGCACUGACACUGAGGCACGAAAGCGUGGGGAGCAAACAGG
RNAcentral lists this ribosomal RNA (253 nucleotides) under uncultured bacterium. RNAcentral describes it as "partial 16S ribosomal RNA". It matches the Rfam family "Bacterial small subunit ribosomal RNA", at positions 524 to 776 of the family's 1533-position model. The record is from RNAcentral.